GUCGUUGUAGUAUAGUGGUGAGUAUUUCCGCCUGUCACGCGGAUGACCCGGGUUCAAUCCCCGGCAACGGCG
RNAcentral lists this transfer RNA (72 nucleotides) under Selaginella moellendorffii. RNAcentral's name for it is "tRNA tRNA-Asp". It matches the Rfam family "tRNA". From Rfam's summary of the family: Transfer RNA (tRNA) molecules are approximately 80 nucleotides in length. Their secondary structure includes four short double-helical elements and three loops (D, anti-codon, and T loops). Further hydrogen bonds mediate the characteristic L-shaped molecular structure. tRNAs have two regions of fundamental functional importance: the anti-codon, which is responsible for specific mRNA codon recognition, and the 3' end, to which the tRNAs corresponding amino acid is attached (by aminoacyl-tRNA synthetases). tRNAs cope with the degeneracy of the genetic code in two manners: having more than one tRNA (with a specific anti-codon) for a particular amino acid; and 'wobble' base-pairing, i.e. permitting non-standard base-pairing at the 3rd anti-codon position. The record is from Rfam by way of RNAcentral. Lineage: Eukaryota; Viridiplantae; Streptophyta; Lycopodiopsida; Selaginellales; Selaginellaceae.